CACAUUAAAAAAGGUAUAUUUUAUUUCAUUUCAACAUGUACAACAUUUUUACAUCAUGAGCAUGAGUCACACAAAAGGGUAAAUACAUUAUUGCCAGCUUAUUUUCAAUCUUCACAAACAAAUAUUAAACACCACCCCAAGAGUCAAAGACCCAGUUCAAUAGUACUGACCUCAAAGUAUUGGAAACAAAGAACCCAAAAGAAAACAAAGAAUUUACAUAAGAAAAAAAACCAAAGUAUAAAAAUGAUACCACCACUCAUAACACACUUUAGUUAGAAAGAUAAAAGUAAAAGUGAAGCCAUGAAUGUUCCAAUAGAUGCAGCAUAAUUGAAGAAGAUUGAAGCAGCAGCAUUAGGAGGAGGAGGUUCAUAAACAGGAGCUGGUGAUGGGUUUGACUCUACAAUUCCUGAAGGUGGAGGAGAUUGACCCUCUUGCUUAUAAGGUGUUGGUGAAGGAGCAUAUGAUUGUGGUGAUGGUGGAGAAGCAUUGCUUCUUUGGUUAGUGUUUGAUGAGUUAUGGUUGUUCCUAUCAGCCAACACUAUCACUGUUACCUUUUCAUUUUUAAGACAAUUGUCUUUGUUUCCACUUAUGAAGAAGUGAGGUCCUGAUUGGUUGAGUUUGAUGACUGUGUGGCCAUCAUAGAAUUUUGCAUAAGGUGAACCAGUGUUGCAAUUGGCAUAGUCUUCAUUCUUUACAUAAAGUACUGAGUCUUGGCCAGAUUGAUAGUUGAAUACUGCAUCAUGUGUAAAAAUUUGAUAUUUUAUGUCAGAACUUUCCUUUAUAUCAUAUUUGCUUGUUACAAAGUUUUGAUAUCUUAAAAACUUUAGGCACUAGAUAAUGCUGCUACCCUUUACAGAAGUAUUGCAUUGUGCAAGAACAUGUAUCUAAAAAUAAUAGUUUCUUACAUAAGUUUCAGUUAGGAGGAAGAGGAAGAUUUUCCACAAGGAAUAAUUUACCACUAGACCAUUGAACCAUCGGCCUUGUGGUAUUUCUGAGAUCGAGCCAAACGUUAUACGACUAGACCAACACCUUGUUCAUGAUAACUUUAUUAAAAAAAGCUAAAACUAUAUAUACUUUGUAACAAAAAAUUCAUUAACCCAUGUAGAAAUAUGUGUCAUUCAAUUUAGAUCAAAUUGAAAUUCUUCAAACUGUUUCCCCCUCUCUAACCAAAUUAAGAUAUAUAUAUAUAUAUAUAUAUAUAUAUAUAUCUUAAUUUGGUUAGAGAGGGGGAAACAGUUUGAAGAAUUUCAAUUUGAUCUAAAUUGAAUGACACAUAUUUCUACAUGGGUUAAUGAAUUUUUUGUUACAAAGUAUAUAUAGUUUUAGCUUUUUUUAAUAAAGUUAUCAUGAACAAGGUGUUGGUCUAGUCGUAUAACGUUUGGCUCGAUCUCAGAAAUACCACAAGGCCGAUGGUUCAAUGGUCUAGUGGUAAAUUAUUCCUUGUGGAAAAUCUUCCUCUUCCUCCUAACUGAAACUUAUGUAAGAAACUAUUAUUUUUAGAUACAUGUUCUUGCACAAUGCAAUACUUCUGUAAAGGGUAGCAGCAUUAUCUAGUGCCUAAAGUUUUUAAGAUAUCAAAACUUUGUAACAAGCAAAUAUGAUAUAAAGGAAAGUUCUGACAUAAAAUAUCAAAUUUUUACACAUGAUGCAGUAUUCAACUAUCAAUCUGGCCAAGACUCAGUACUUUAUGUAAAGAAUGAAGACUAUGCCAAUUGCAACACUGGUUCACCUUAUGCAAAAUUCUAUGAUGGCCACACAGUCAUCAAACUCAACCAAUCAGGACCUCACUUCUUCAUAAGUGGAAACAAAGACAAUUGUCUUAAAAAUGAAAAGGUAACAGUGAUAGUGUUGGCUGAUAGGAACAACCAUAACUCAUCAAACACUAACCAAAGAAGCAAUGCUUCUCCACCAUCACCACAAUCAUAUGCUCCUUCACCAACACCUUAUAAGCAAGAGGGUCAAUCUCCUCCACCUUCAGGAAUUGUAGAGUCAAACCCAUCACCAGCUCCUGUUUAUGAACCUCCUCCUCCUAAUGCUGCUGCUUCAAUCUUCUUCAAUUAUGCUGCAUCUAUUGGAACAUUCAUGGCUUCACUUUUACUUUUAUCUUUCUAACUAAAGUGUGUUAUGAGUGGUGGUAUCAUUUUUAUACUUUGGUUUUUUUUCUUAUGUAAAUUCUUUGUUUUCUUUUGGGUUCUUUGUUUCCAAUACUUUGAGGUCAGUACUAUUGAACUGGGUCUUUGACUCUUGGGGUGGUGUUUAAUAUUUGUUUGUGAAGAUUGAAAAUAAGCUGGCAAUAAUGUAUUUACCCUUUUGUGUGACUCAUGCUCAUGAUGUAAAAAUGUUGUACAUGUUGAAAUGAAAUAAAAUAUACCUUUUUUAAUGUGUAAUGAGUCAAUGUUAUGGGAAGUUUUCUCAAUGCUAUUAUUACAUCAAUACAUGUAUAAUAAUUAAAGAUAAAUAGUGAAUGAUAACAGUGUAUAAAACUCAUACACCGAGUUAAUGUAUAAAUCAUUUUCUCAUAAUUAAAAUCAACAAUCAAGCAAUAUUUAAACUCACAUUUAUAUAUGCUACUAUUACUAUACCUAAACACAAGCUAUCGUGAUACUUACUCACAAUUACAUAAAUUUCUAAAUGUUUCAAUUUAGAUGUUCAGAAUGAAAUGUUUUCUCUUCUUGUGUAAAUAUGUACAUUUUUUUCCUAUUGCAAGUAACUAACAGAUGUUCUUUUUUCUUUUCUUUUUACUGGUACCCAUAUAGCAGAUCUUAAACCAAUGAUGCAUUGGUUUAAUGGGUAAGAAUUUGUUAAAUUGCUAUUAUAUUAUGUCUAAGAUUAGAAUUAUGAGAAUAAUAUUUAUUGGUAAUAAUAACCACAAAUUCCAAUAAAUUAAUUCUUUAAUCAUACGGCGUUGAACUUUUGAUAUACCAUAAAAACCAAUAUCCUAUAUUAAAGUCGUCCAAAAAGAAAUCUGAAAUCAAAUUAAACAAAAAGAAUAGUGGUUAGGGCAUACUUUUUUAGUGGGAUAAUGUUAUUUAGUUUUUAGUUAAAAGGAGCAAGAUCUUUCAAAUACAGAUAGACAAAAAAUGUAUGUUUUGUGUGAGUUUUAUACAAUUAUUACUAUAUCAUCCACUAUUCAUAUUUAAUUAUUAUUGAAUCUAGUAUAAAUGAAUAGUAGAUAAUGUUCUAAUUAUAUAUAAAUUUUUGCCUUGAUAGUAUAUAGAUAUUAUAAUAUUUAUCAUUGUUUUGAGAGUUGUUGCUUAAAACCUCUUACCUCCAUGAAACAAAUCACUAUCUCAAAAUAACUCUAUUCCUAAGUAAUCAAAUAUUGACAAGUCUAUUGAUAUUAACUUCAAAAAAUUAAUGUAAUAUUUAUUUGAUACAUAUUUAUCAAAAAUCUUAUCGAUAAUAUGUUAGACAUAUGAAAAUAGGAAAGAAGAUCUCAAUUCUUAACUAAAUAACAUUAUCCCACUAAAAAAGUAUGCCCUAAACACUAAUUUUGUUGUUUGUUUAAAUUGAUUUCCGUUUUCUUUUUGGACGAUGUUGGUUUUUAUGGUAUAUAAUAUAGUUUAUACUGCAAUGUGACUCUCAUCUAAAAAAUGUGAAUAAUUACAGACCUUUACCCACUUAUUUAGAGGGUUGGAAACGAGUUGAACCGAGUCGAAUCAGGGUUCAGCUCAGUUCAACUCGAUAAGGAUUAGCUCAAUUUGAAACUCGACUCGAUUUUGAUACGAGUUAUUUUUUUAGCUUGAUUCGGUUAAAGUUCGCGAACUGUUUGGUUCAGUUCGAAUGGUUCAUUUGGACAACUCAAAUAAUUAAUUAAAAUUUGAAAAAUACUUGAAAAGGUUUUAUAUAUAUAAAUAUAAUCAUUUUUAUAUAUAUAAUAACAAUAAAUAUAAAAAAUAAUAUAUGAAUGAUAAUAAACAUAAAAUUUAAUUUAUAUAUAUAUAUAUAUAUAUAUAUAAAUCUAUUGAACUAGUUCAUAAACCUAACGAGUCAAACUAUAUUCAACUCAAGUUCGGCUUGUUUAUUUAACGAGUUCAAUUUCCAUCUCAAGUUCAGCUCAUUUGGUUCAUGAACCAAGUUUAUCGAGCUAAAUAACGAAUCGAAUUUCAAACGAAUACCGAGUUAGUUCAAUUCAUUGUCAGUCCUACUUAUUUAUAACAUAUGUUGCAAGAUUCCUACUCCUCCAUUAAAAACUUUGAAUAAACUUUGACUAGCAUAAUGAACAAUUUAGACACAUAAUUCUUUCGUGGAUGGAUUUUUCUUUAUCAUGGAUAAAUUUAUCCUUUAAUAUUAAAUUUGAGUACUUUCUUGGGAGCCUAUAAUUUUCAUCACAAGGAACACUGCAGAUAACAAUUACUUAUGCAAUCCAACUCCUUUUGACCCAAUAGCAAGGGCAUUUUCCAAUAGUAACUUCAAAAGAAAAGAAAACUAUCAUGUGAGCUAAGUUUAAUCACAAGUCAUCAUUAUCAUCACUUUGGUCCUACUUUCACAUUCAAAAUUACACAUCUAGCUACAAAAUAGAAAGGAAAAAAUAUAUAAAAACUCAGCCCCAAAAGCAACAAGAAAUUAAUGGAGGCAUAUAUAUCACAUGUAUCACAAAGCUUGUUCAUUAUCCUGUAAUGAUGAUCAUUGAUUCAUUAUACUGAAGUAACAACUAUAAAAUGUAUUUCUAUGAUUUAUAGUAUGCCUAUAGUUCAGAGAAGAAACUGCUACAAAACCUCUGUAGUGAAAACAGGUAUAGCAAAAUCUAAAGCCCUAAGCUAGACAAAAUUUUCAGCCCAUCAAAAGUUUUUGCCAAGCUCAACCUUUUUUUUAAUAACUUUAAUAGUGUUGUGCAGAAUUGAGUCCAAAAUUCCAGCUACCUGAAAUUACAGAAAAGACUUGUCAACAAUAUAAUAAUUUAACAGUAGAAGCAAAUAUUUGGAAUAACAGCAAAUACAAACCGUGAAAACACCCCCAAUAAUAGCGCAGACAUUUGUGAUAAAAUGUGAAAAAGACUUCUGGUUUUCUGUUAUUGAGACCUGCUCAUAAAACAAACAUUGUAAACCCAAUCUUUUUACUAAACAUGGUGCAAAAACUUAAUCAAAUCUUAACCUCCAUAUACAGACCUGCAUGGGGGAGAGCUCAAGAUGAAAUUUUGCUACCGGAAUGUCAACACUGUGUGCCACACUACUGUGCGCUGUGUACUCGUAUUCCUCAACUAAUCUAGAACCUGUUUUACUUAUAACCUCUGUUUUAACUACCUGGAUAUAAUGCUCUAUCUGCAGACAGAUAUCAGAUGAAUGUAUAACAUUUUGGUUAGAAUAAAUAUUCCAUAUAUUUUCUAUCAAAAUACAAUAAAUCUCCAAAUGUCAGAUAUGAUCAUGACUUAGUAGCUAUCAGCAUCCAUACAGAAAGAAAUAACCAUGAUCACUGUCAUCUAAUGAUAACAGACUAUCUAUGAGAAGUAUUUUUUAUCUCAGUGGAGACGAAAAGCGUGUAACAAAUGAGUGAAGAAUUAAAUGAUUUCCUUUGUUUUGUUACUUCUUUGCUGGGUGUUUCAAACAGAUAUUAGGGGGAAAAUAGAUAUGAUAAUCCAAAAAAAAAUUGGUGCAAACACUUGGUGCAACUUAAAGAGUGAUAUGAAGCAUAUGUGCUUUACAAGAAAAGGAAAAAAGAACCAUGUCCAUGCCAAAGUCAAAUAGUAAUGUUGGCCCUAAAUUAGUUUUUAUUUCAGAACUGAGCAUGGGCACGAACAUGAGUCCUAUUAUGGAGAUCGUGAUACAGAAAGCCUAGUCAAGGUUCAUGCUAUAUUUAAUUUAAAUUAACAUUAUUUGCAUCAAUUUUAAUUUAAAAAUAGACUAAUUUAUGUUUUUAGAUGUAAUUACCUCUUACUUCUUUACCACCAAAGAGUGCAACAGGCUGACAAGUUUCUCUAAUGCAGAUGUUGGAGAAUUUGGUCAUAUCUCUCCAUACAGAACCUCAGAAGCCAGCUUUGGAGGAUAAAUCCACUGCAGCAAAUAAAACAAAGAGACAAGCACCAACAACAGGUGGAUGUAGAGUUGAGGGACAUGUGCGUGUGAAAAAGGUAAACUCCCAAAUGGUUGCAGUUUAAUCUUCAACUCUAAUUUAUAGAUUUUUUUAAAAGUUUUUUUCGUAGUUUUCAGAUGUGAUUAUGAAUUAAGAUGUCCUAAGCUGCUCUGGAAGUAACUGAUACAUUUGCUAACUUGUUUUAAAAAUAAAUAAAGGGAAAAGUCCAUAAAAACACUUUAAACUUUAUGUUUUUUGCAAGAAGCCACCGUGAACUAUUUUUCUUCCUAAUUACGCCUUAAACAUUAACUAUUGGUGAGAUUGGUUCCUGCAUAAAGAUGAUUUUAAAUUAAUAACAAUGAAAAAUUCUAAUUCAUGUAUUUUUUUAUUCUCGACUCUUAGGUCAUUAUUAUUUUAUUUUAUAUUUGUAUAUAAAAAUAUUAUUGUAUUAAUCACCUUUUAACUCUGAAAUUUAUUUAUUCUCUUCUUCUCAAUCAAUAAUGUAUUUUGAUGGUGAUUUCCUUUGGAUAUCAAUGUUGGCUAACCUGCAUUGUUGCGUUGUUACUGUUGUGAAUCUAAUUGCAGCGAUUUCCUUGUUGUCUAUGAGUAAUUUAACAAUAUACUUAUACAUAAACCAAUUUUAUCAAUUGAUAAAGUUUAAGGGGCAAUUAGGAAGAAAAACUAGUUUAUGGUGGCUACUUGCAAAAGAUAUAAAGUUUAUGGAGGCUUUAUGCACUUUUCCCAUAAAUAAAAUAUUUCUGUUGAUUUAGUAUAGGAUUCGGUUGCUAAUACUAAAAUCACUGAAAUAAAUAAAGAGAGGAAAGUGCCAUUCUGUUCAUAAUUUAUUUUCCUAGAUUUUAAAUAUAUGGUUUUAAAAUAUAAGCUGUUUCACACUCUGCAGGUUCCUGGGGAACUGAUCAUCUCAGCUAGGUCCGAUGCUCAUUCCUUUGAUGCUUCUCAAAUGAACAUGUCACAUGUCAUAAACCAUCUGUAUUUCGGAAGGAGCAUAACACCUAAGACUAUGCAUGAUGUGAACAUCUUGUUGCCUUACAUAGGUAGCAGCCAUGACAGGCUGAAAGGCCGGUCAUUCAUCAAUACUCGUGAUUUAGAAGGAAAUAUUACUGUAAGUUUAAUAUUUAUAAAAAACUAAUUUAGGGCCAACAUUACUAUUUGACUUUGGCAUGGACAUGGUUCUUUUUUCCUUUUCUUGUAAAGCACAUAUGCUUCAUAUCACUCUUUAAGUUGCACCAAGUGUUUGCACCAAUUUUUUUUUGGAUUAUCAUAUCUAUUUUCCCCCUAAUAUCUGUUUGAAACACCCAGCAAAGAAGUAACAAAACAAAGGAAAUCAUUUAAUUCUUCACUCAUUUGUUACACGCUUUUCGUCUCCACUGAGAUAAAAAAUACUUCUCAUAGAUAGUCUGUUAUCAUUAGAUGACAGUGAUCAUGGUUAUUUCUUUCUGUAUGGAUGCUGAUAGCUACUAAGUCAUGAUCAUAUCUGACAUUUGGAGAUUUAUUGUAUUUUGAUAGAAAAUAUAUGGAAUAUUUAUUCUAACCAAAAUGUUAUACAUUCAUCUGAUAUCUGUCUGCAGAUAGAGCAUUAUAUCCAGGUAGUUAAAACAGAGGUUAUAAGUAAAACAGGUUCUAGAUUAGUUGAGGAAUACGAGUACACAGCGCACAGUAGUGUGGCACACAGUGUUGACAUUCCGGUAGCAAAAUUUCAUCUUGAGCUCUCCCCCAUGCAGGUCUGUAUAUGGAGGUUAAGAUUUGAUUAAGUUUUUGCACCAUGUUUAGUAAAAAGAUUGGGUUUACAAUGUUUGUUUUAUGAGCAGGUCUCAAUAACAGAAAACCAGAAGUCUUUUUCACAUUUUAUCACAAAUGUCUGCGCUAUUAUUGGGGGUGUUUUCACGGUUUGUAUUUGCUGUUAUUCCAAAUAUUUGCUUCUACUGUUAAAUUAUUAUAUUGUUGACAAGUCUUUUCUGUAAUUUCAGGUAGCUGGAAUUUUGGACUCAAUUCUGCACAACACUAUUAAAGUUAUUAAAAAAAAGGUUGAGCUUGGCAAAAACUUUUGAUGGGCUGAAAAUUUUGUCUAGCUUAGGGCUUUAGAUUUUGCUAUACCUGUUUUCACUACAGAGGUUUUGUAGCAGUUUCUUCUCUGAACUAUAGGCAUACUAUAAAUCAUAGAAAUACAUUUUAUAGUUGUUACUUCAGUAUAAUGAAUCAAUGAUCAUCAUUACAGGAUAAUGAACAAGCUUUGUGAUACAUGUGAUAUAUAUGCCUCCAUUAAUUUCUUGUUGCUUUUGGGGCUGAGUUUUUAUAUAUUUUUUCCUUUCUAUUUUGUAGCUAGAUGUGUAAUUUUGAAUGUGAAAGUAGGACCAAAGUGAUGAUAAUGAUGACUUGUGAUUAAACUUAGCUCACAUGAUAGUUUUCUUUUCUUUUGAAGUUACUAUUGGAAAAUGCCCUUGCUAUUGGGUCAAAAGGAGUUGGAUUGCAUAAGUAAUUGUUAUCUGCAGUGUUCCUUGUGAUGAAAAUUAUAGGCUCCCAAGAAAGUACUCAAAUUUAAUAUUAAAGGAUAAAUUUAUCCAUGAUAAAGAAAAAUCCAUCCACGAAAGAAUUAUGUGUCUAAAUUGUUCAUUAUGCUAGUCAAAGUUUAUUCAAAGUUUUUAAUGGAGGAGUAGGAAUCUUGCAACAUAUGUUAUAAAUAAGUAGGACUGACAAUGAAUUGAACUAACUCGGUAUUCGUUUGAAAUUCGAUUCGUUAUUUAGCUCGAUAAACUUGGUUCAUGAACCAAAUGAGCUGAACUUGAGAUGGAAAUUGAACUCGUUAAAUAAACAAGCCGAACUUGAGUUGAAUAUAGUUUGACUCGUUAGGUUUAUGAACUAGUUCAAUAGAUUUAUAUAUAUAUAUAUAUAUAUAUAUAAAUUAAAUUUUAUGUUUAUUAUCAUUCAUAUAUUAUUUUUUAUAUUUAUUGUUAUUAUAUAUAUAAAAAUGAUUAUAUUUAUAUAUAUAAAACCUUUUCAAGUAUUUUUCAAAUUUUAAUUAAUUAUUUGAGUUGUCCAAAUGAACCAUUCGAACUGAACCAAACAGUUCGCGAACUUUAACCGAAUCAAGCUAAAAAAAUAACUCGUAUCAAAAUCGAGUCGAGUUUCAAAUUGAGCUAAUCCUUAUCGAGUUGAACUGAGCUGAACCCUGAUUCGACUCGGUUCAACUCGUUUCCAACCCUCUAAAUAAGUGGGUAAAGGUCUGUAAUUAUUCACAUUUUUUAGAUGAGAGUCACAUUGCAGUAUAAACUAUAUUAUAUACCAUAAAAACCAACAUCGUCCAAAAAGAAAACGGAAAUCAAUUUAAACAAACAACAAAAUUAGUGUUUAGGGCAUACUUUUUUAGUGGGAUAAUGUUAUUUAGUUAAGAAUUGAGAUCUUCUUUCCUAUUUUCAUAUGUCUAACAUAUUAUCGAUAAGAUUUUUGAUAAAUAUGUAUCAAAUAAAUAUUACAUUAAUUUUUUGAAGUUAAUAUCAAUAGACUUGUCAAUAUUUGAUUACUUAGGAAUAGAGUUAUUUUGAGAUAGUGAUUUGUUUCAUGGAGGUAAGAGGUUUUAAGCAACAACUCUCAAAACAAUGAUAAAUAUUAUAAUAUCUAUAUACUAUCAAGGCAAAAAUUUAUAUAUAAUUAGAACAUUAUCUACUAUUCAUUUAUACUAGAUUCAAUAAUAAUUAAAUAUGAAUAGUGGAUGAUAUAGUAAUAAUUGUAUAAAACUCACACAAAACAUACAUUUUUUGUCUAUCUGUAUUUGAAAGAUCUUGCUCCUUUUAACUAAAAACUAAAUAACAUUAUCCCACUAAAAAAGUAUGCCCUAACCACUAUUCUUUUUGUUUAAUUUGAUUUCAGAUUUCUUUUUGGACGACUUUAAUAUAGGAUAUUGGUUUUUAUGGUAUAUCAAAAGUUCAACGCCGUAUGAUUAAAGAAUUAAUUUAUUGGAAUUUGUGGUUAUUAUUACCAAUAAAUAUUAUUCUCAUAAUUCUAAUCUUAGACAUAAUAUAAUAGCAAUUUAACAAAUUCUUACCCAUUAAACCAAUGCAUCAUUGGUUUAAGAUCUGCUAUAUGGGUACCAGUAAAAAGAAAAGAAAAAAGAACAUCUGUUAGUUACUUGCAAUAGGAAAAAAAUGUACAUAUUUACACAAGAAGAGAAAACAUUUCAUUCUGAACAUCUAAAUUGAAACAUUUAGAAAUUUAUGUAAUUGUGAGUAAGUAUCACGAUAGCUUGUGUUUAGGUAUAGUAAUAGUAGCAUAUAUAAAUGUGAGUUUAAAUAUUGCUUGAUUGUUGAUUUUAAUUAUGAGAAAAUGAUUUAUACAUUAACUCGGUGUAUGAGUUUUAUACACUGUUAUCAUUCACUAUUUAUCUUUAAUUAUUAUACAUGUAUUGAUGUAAUAAUAGCAUUGAGAAAACUUCCCAUAACAUUGACUCAUUACACAUUAAAAAAGGUAUAUUUUAUUUCAUUUCAACAUGUACAACAUUUUUACAUCAUGAGCAUGAGUCACACAAAAGGGUAAAUACAUUAUUGCCAGCUUAUUUUCAAUCUUCACAAACAAAUAUUAAACACCACCCCAAGAGUCAAAGACCCAGUUCAAUAGUACUGACCUCAAAGUAUUGGAAACAAAGAACCCAAAAGAAAACAAAGAAUUUACAUAAGAAAAAAAACCAAAGUAUAAAAAUGAUACCACCACUCAUAACACACUUUAGUUAGAAAGAUAAAAGUAAAAGUGAAGCCAUGAAUGUUCCAAUAGAUGCAGCAUAAUUGAAGAAGAUUGAAGCAGCAGCAUUAGGAGGAGGAGGUUCAUAAACAGGAGCUGGUGAUGGGUUUGACUCUACAAUUCCUGAAGGUGGAGGAGAUUGACCCUCUUGCUUAUAAGGUGUUGGUGAAGGAGCAUAUGAUUGUGGUGAUGGUGGAGAAGCAUUGCUUCUUUGGUUAGUGUUUGAUGAGUUAUGGUUGUUCCUAUCAGCCAACACUAUCACUGUUACCUUUUCAUUUUUAAGACAAUUGUCUUUGUUUCCACUUAUGAAGAAGUGAGGUCCUGAUUGGUUGAGUUUGAUGACUGUGUGGCCAUCAUAGAAUUUUGCAUAAGGUGAACCAGUGUUGCAAUUGGCAUAGUCUUCAUUCUUUACAUAAAGUACUGAGUCUUGGCCAGAUUGAUAGUUGAAUACUGCAUCAUGUGUAAAAAUUUGAUAUUUUAUGUCAGAACUUUCCUUUAUAUCAUAUUUGCUUGUUACAAAGUUUUGAUAUCUUAAAAACUUUAGGCACUAGAUAAUGCUGCUACCCUUUACAGAAGUAUUGCAUUGUGCAAGAACAUGUAUCUAAAAAUAAUAGUUUCUUACAUAAGUUUCAGUUAGGAGGAAGAGGAAGAUUUUCCACAAGGAAUAAUUUACCACUAGACCAUUGAACCAUCGGCCUUGUGGUAUUUCUGAGAUCGAGCCAAACGUUAUACGACUAGACCAACACCUUGUUCAUGAUAACUUUAUUAAAAAAAGCUAAAACUAUAUAUACUUUGUAACAAAAAAUUCAUUAACCCAUGUAGAAAUAUGUGUCAUUCAAUUUAGAUCAAAUUGAAAUUCUUCAAACUGUUUCCC
RNAcentral lists this long non-coding RNA (11632 nucleotides) under Lupinus angustifolius (narrow-leaved blue lupine). Its description in RNAcentral is "long non-coding RNA (LANG_LNC001438)". The record is from RNAcentral. Lineage: Eukaryota; Viridiplantae; Streptophyta; Magnoliopsida; Fabales; Fabaceae.